CGAAGCUGUUCUGAGGGGCCUGUAACGGACCGACCAAGGAGCAUCGAAGCUGUUCUGAGGGGCCUGUAACGGACCGACCAAGGAGCACCGAAGCUGUUCUGAGGGGCCUGUAACGGACCAACCAAGGAGCACCGAAGCUGUUCUGAGGGGCCUGUAACGGACCAACCAAGGAGCACCGAAGCUGUUCUGAGGGGCCUGUAACGGCCCAACCAAGGAGCACCGAAGCUGUUCUGAGGGGCCUGUAACGGACCAACCAAGGAGCACCGAAGCUGUUCUGAGGGGCCUGUAACGGACCAACCAAGGAGCAUCGAAGCUGUUCUGGCUCCUGGUCGUCCAACGUCCUGUUAAAAACACUUGAUGUUGGUGUUUCCUUUAUUCAGUUACCUGCAUCUUCAAUACUCUAAUAUAUAAUCACAUAAUCAUAUUUAAAACACAACGCUUUUAUCCACAUUUUACAUACAGGUGGUCCCGUCUGGGUGCAUCCCAUAGGACACCCUAUUCCCUACAUAGCGCACUACUUUAGACCACUAGGUAGGGAAUAGGGGGACAUUUUGACAACUAGGUAGGGAAUAGGGGGCCAGUUUGACAACUAGGUAGGGAAUAGAGGGCCAUUUUGACCACUAGGUAGGGAAUAGGGGGCCAGUUUGACCACUAGGUAGGGAAUAGGGGGCCAGUUUGACCACUAGGUAGGGAAUAGAGGGCCAGUUUGACCACUAGGUAGGGAAUAGGGGGCCAGUUUGACCACUAGGUAGGGAAUAGGGGGCCAGUUUGACCGCUAGGUAGGGAAUAGGGGGCCAUUUUGACCACUAGGUAGGGAAUAGGGGGCCAGUUUGACCACUAGGUAGGGAAUAGGGGGCAUUUUGCAAGUAGCCUAUAUCUCUGUAAAUACAUUCCAUGUAGCUCUCAUUCAAUCAAUCUCCACCUGUCAUACAGUCACAAAUUAACUAUUUAGUCUAGCUCUAACCUGAGAGAGAGAGAGAGAGAGAGAGAGAGAGAGAGAGAGAGAGAGAGAGAGAGAGAGAGAGAGAGAGAGAGAGAGAGAGAGAGAGAGAGAGAGGAGAGAGAGAGAGAGAGACAGAGAGAGAAGGAGAGAGAGAGGGAGAGAGGAGGAGAGAGAGAGGGAGAGAGAGAGACAGAAAGAGUCAAAUAGAGAGUAGUUCUAGUAAUUAUAAGUUAAAGUGACAGAGUUCCUAAUCUGUCAGUUAGUUAGUUAGUUAUAGUAACCACAGUCGUAUAUCUAGCCAUAUAUUUAACAACAUGUUUCUCUAUAUAUGUGUCUGGUAGUAACCAUGGAGACAGGAGAAGUGUCUGGACUAAAACAGGACCUGACAGAAGCUGUACAAUAAGGAAGAAACAGACAAAACAUCAGAUAAAGGUCGAAGGUUAAAAGGCGACCUCGUUAGAUCUAGUGCUACUCAAACUUCGUGUUUUAAAUGGUCAAGAAAAGGUGAAAGUUCCUCCCGGGUGUUCCAGGAGAAAGGAAGGGACGUCACCUGCAGUGACGGGAGGCUGUCGCUGGGUGAAAGGUCAAAGGUGAUUAAAGGUGACAUGGUUAAAGGUCGACUAAUGGCAGAUAUAGUGUUCAGUGCCGGAGGUUCUGAUGAUGUCACACACAUAUCGUCUCCUAACAGACACACAGUACGGAAAAGGUCAACCGCUCACAGUUUCCACCAAUGGGUGGGUGAGGGAGGGAGAAGGUGGGGGGUCCGAUUGCAUAUCAUUCCGUACCAUGAUGUCACACUCUGACAUCAGGGGGGAGGGGCUACGGCUCCUCAGGGGGGAGGGGCUACAGCACAGCAG
Molecule: long non-coding RNA, 1800 nt
Organism: Oncorhynchus tshawytscha (Chinook salmon)
Lineage: Eukaryota; Metazoa; Chordata; Actinopteri; Salmoniformes; Salmonidae
Source: Ensembl